CCCUCCCUCUGGCGGCAUGCCUAACACAUGCAAGUCGAACGAGACCUUCGGGUCUAGUGGCGCACGGGUGCGUAACACGUGGGAAUCUGCCCUUUGCUUCGGAAUAACAGUUAGAAAUGACUGCUAAUACCGGAUGAUGUCGAAAGACCAAAGAUUUAUCGGCAAAGGAUGAGCCCGCGUAGGAUUAGGUAGUUGGUGGGGUAAAGGCCUACCAAGCCGACGAUCCUUAGCUGGUCUGAGAGGAUGAUCAGCCACACUGGGACUGAGACACGGCCCAGACUCCUACGGGAGGCAGCAGUGGGGAAUAUUGGACAAUGGGCGAAAGCCUGAUCCAGCAAUGCCGCGUGAGUGAUGAAGGCCUUAGGGUUGUAAAGCUCUUUUACCAGGGAUGAUAAUGACAGUACCUGGAGAAUAAGCUCCGGCUAACUCCGUG
Molecule: ribosomal RNA, 433 nt
Filed under: uncultured bacterium
Lineage: Bacteria
Description: partial 16S ribosomal RNA
Rfam family: Bacterial small subunit ribosomal RNA
Source: RNAcentral